ACCUGGCUGGCCAGAUCGCCAGAGCCUGCGCCAUCUUCUGUGUGGAUGAGAUUGUGGUGUUCGAUGAGGAGGGCCAGGAUACCAAGUGAGUCUUUGGGGAGAGGGGAGGACCAGCAGGGUGGCUGUGGCUCUGUCCUGCUCCUCGUGCCCUGCCCGGCUGCCUGGGAGGAGCUCUCAAAGGCAGCUGCAGAUGAACCUUGUCUCUCCCUUGGUGCUAGAGAGUGGACUUGUUUUUGCCCAUGCUCUACUCUGAAGCACAUGACACUCAGCACUUCCCUGGUUGUGGGUUUGUGUAACAUUUCUUUACGGUGCUUGUAUACAAACACCAGUGUGGUUGUGGAGAUUGGAAUGCAGUUUGAGCUGAGCACUGGUGGCACACGCCUUUGAUCCCAGUACCCAGGAGGCAGAGGCAGGCGGGUCUCUGAGAGUUCAGGGACAGCCUGGUCUACAGAGCAAGGAGGACUGCCAGGGCUACACCAAGAAACCAGUCUCCAAAAAGAAGUGG
This 505-nucleotide long non-coding RNA is filed under the name Rattus norvegicus (Norway rat). Its description in RNAcentral is "long non-coding RNA NONRATT019130". Lineage: Eukaryota; Metazoa; Chordata; Mammalia; Rodentia; Muridae. The record is from RNAcentral.